This 109-nucleotide ribosomal RNA is filed under the name Escherichia coli. RNAcentral's name for it is "partial 23S ribosomal RNA". It matches the Rfam family "Bacterial large subunit ribosomal RNA", at positions 2820 to 2925 of the family's 2925-position model. RNAcentral also lists the same sequence under 6 other names. Lineage: Bacteria; Pseudomonadati; Pseudomonadota; Gammaproteobacteria; Enterobacterales; Enterobacteriaceae. The record is from RNAcentral.
UUUAAGUCUCCUGAAGGAACGUUGAAGACGACGACGUUGAUAGGCCGGGUGUGUAAGCGCAGCGAUGCGUUGAGCUAACCGGUACUAAUGAACCGUGAGGCUUAACCUU